RNAcentral lists this microRNA precursor (74 nucleotides) under Myotis lucifugus (little brown bat). RNAcentral's name for it is "mir-9193 microRNA precursor family". It matches the Rfam family "mir-9193 microRNA precursor family". Lineage: Eukaryota; Metazoa; Chordata; Mammalia; Chiroptera; Vespertilionidae. The record is from Rfam by way of RNAcentral.
CUCGGGGGCGGGGGGUCCCUCAACCCAGAUUGUGAGAGGGUGCUGGCCAGGUUGAGGGACCCCACCAGUAUAGG